This 253-nucleotide ribosomal RNA is filed under the name uncultured bacterium. Its description in RNAcentral is "partial 16S ribosomal RNA". It matches the Rfam family "Bacterial small subunit ribosomal RNA", at positions 524 to 776 of the family's 1533-position model. The record is from RNAcentral.
UACGGAGGGUGCAAGCGUUAUCCGGAUUUACUGGGUUUAAAGGGUGCGCAGGCGGAUAUGUAAGUCAGUGGUGAAAUCUCUAGGCUUAACCUGGAAAUUGCCGUUGAUACUAUAUAUCUUGAAUGCUGUGGAGGUAAGCGGAAUAUGUCAUGUAGCGGUGAAAUGCUUAGAGAUGACAUAGAACACCUAUUGCGAAGGCAGCAGGCUAAACGAACAUUGACGCUGAGGCACGAAAGCGUGGGGAUCAAACAGG